Molecule: ribosomal RNA, 490 nt
Filed under: uncultured bacterium
Lineage: Bacteria
Description: partial 16S ribosomal RNA
Rfam family: Bacterial small subunit ribosomal RNA
Source: RNAcentral
AGUGAACGCUGGCGGUAGGCCUAACACAUGCAAGUCGAACGGCAGCACAGUAAGAGCUUGCUCUUACGGGUGGCGAGUGGCGGACGGGUGAGGAAUACAUCGGAAUCUACUUUUUCGUGGGGGAUAACGUAGGGAAACUUACGCUAAUACCGCAUACGACCUACGGGUGAAAGCAGGGGAUCUUCGGACCUUGCGCGAUUGAAUGAGCCGAUGUCGGAUUAGCUAGUUGGCGGGGUAAAGGCCCACCAAGGCGACGAUCCGUAGCUGGUCUGAGAGGAUGAUCAGCCACACUGGAACUGAGACACGGUCCAGACUCCCACGGGAGGCAGCAGUGGGGAAUAUUGGACAAUGGGCGCAAGCCUGAUCCAGCCAUCCCGCGUGGGUGAAGAAGGCCUUCGGGUUGUAAAGCCCUUUUGUUGGGAAAGAAAAGCAGCAGGUUAAUACCCCGCUGUUCUGACGGUACCCAAAGAAUAAGCACCGGCUAACUUCG